This 251-nucleotide ribosomal RNA is filed under the name uncultured bacterium. Its description in RNAcentral is "partial 16S ribosomal RNA". It matches the Rfam family "Bacterial small subunit ribosomal RNA", at positions 525 to 775 of the family's 1533-position model. The record is from RNAcentral.
ACGGAGGAUCCGAGCGUUAUCCGGAUUUAUUGGGUUUAAAGGGAGCGUAGGUGGACUGGUAAGUCAGUUGUGAAAGUUUGCGGCUCAACCGUAAAAUUGCAGUUGAUACUGUCAGUCUUGAGUACAGUAGAGGUGGGCGGAAUUCGUGGUGUAGCGGUGAAAUGCUUAGAUAUCACGAAGAACUCCGAUUGCGAAGGCAGCUCACUGGAUUGCAACUGACACUGAUGCUCGAAAGUGUGGGUAUCAAACAG